CUCUAUGGUAGCGUGUAGCGGGCAAGGUUACGCCCUUGACUGUGUUCCGUGUAUCACAGCUUUCCACCCCGUUACACGCUAUCGCCCAA
This 89-nucleotide non-coding RNA is filed under the name Bibersteinia trehalosi. Lineage: Bacteria; Pseudomonadati; Pseudomonadota; Gammaproteobacteria; Pasteurellales; Pasteurellaceae. The record is from RNAcentral.